ACUCCACUCUUGUUUGCUGCGUGCGUUCGUCGCUUGGCCCGCUUGCUGUUCUCGCAAAAGCGCGGGGCAGAGGAGAGAAAGAAGCCUCUCGUUCUCCGAGAGAGACGCAGAGGCCGCAGUCAGGGCCUGGAUAUACUCGGAGGCUCGGCUUCUCCUCUGGGUGCUCCUUGUUGCUUCCAGGGAAAGUUUAGUCUGGAUCUGAGGCCUCGUGGCGCUCUUCCUGGUUUUUCAAUUUUGGUGGAGAAAUAGAGUUUGUGGUGAAGUAAAUGGCACCGCUGGAAUCCAAACCCUAAUGAAGCAGAGUCUCUUCUUAACCACUGUCUAUACUAAAGGUAAUUUAAAACAGGGUGCAGACAACAGGAAAGCAACAACUCUGGUUUGGUCACCGUGGUGGUCUUGCCCGGCACAUGGUGGGAGUCCAGCCAGAGCUGAUGGCCUCCUCUUCCCUCCUGACUAUUCAUCUGCUUCCACUCCAGGAGCACCACAGGCAUCUCCCCUGAUGCAGGGUAAAUUGCAGAAGCCGUGGUACCAGCCCGCAUCCAUGACCCCACAGAUAUUCCCCUUCUCCAAGUGGACUGACCCAGGCCUUUUACAAACACAGAAGGAUCUUGUGCAAGAUGAAUUUUAGUACUAGCUACUAAAAGAUCUCUUCACACAAAAGGCAAUAUUCCUGAAUUUGUAUUGGUCCAGGCAUUCGAGAAUCAAGGUGCAUCCGUAGGAAGAAAGAGAGAGAGACCAGUUCUGAAGAGUAUCUGCUGGUGAAUGUUACUUAAAUCUGAACUUUGAGUCAUGAAAAAUAGAAAGAUGUACGUCGUUAUGGUACUGUUUCCAGUUUUUAGCACACCAUAGAAAGAGCUGUAACUGCAGAAUGAAUAAACAAAUGAGUGGAUGGAAUGACAGACAGUGCUUUCAGGAUACACUCAGCAUUCCCCUGCAUGGGAGACAGCCUGGGACCUGGGACCCUUUAUGAAAGCCCUUGCUUGUACCUAGGCCAAGGAGCAACAGAAUACAAAGAAACUAUGAGGGACUAAAAAUAAUUGCACAGUUGCACAGUUGGGGCAGUUCUGAACAACAAGAUACAGAAAAGGCCAAAACCCAAUUGCCACUUUGGAGAUACUGGGCACAAAAGGAGGGGACUGUGCAUGACCUCUGGACCCAGCACCACCAAAGGGGUGGACAGACCACCUGAUCCAUGCCUUUCAUCCAACCCACUGAUCUCCCCCACCCAUACCCUGUUUAAGGGACCAGCUCACCCCCCUGCUGCAGCAUGAGUCCCAGUAAAGCCUUGCCAGAAUUCUUCGUCUGCUAGCAAUUUCUGUUGAUGAAAGGGUACAAGGACCCCAGUGAGAAUCAAAUGGGGCCUGCUGCAUUGUUGUCGAGACUCAGGAAACCAUAGCUUCGAAAGCUAAUGUGGGAGUUCCCAUUAUGGCACAGCAGUAAUGAACCCAAUGAGCAUCCAUGAGGACGCAGCCUCAAUCCUUGGUCCCGCUCAGUGGGUUAAGCAUCUGGGCAUUGCUGUGAGCUGUAGUGCAAGGCGCAGACACAGCUUGGAUCCUAUGUUGCUGUGGCUAUGGUGUAGACCGGCAGCCACAGCUCCGAUUUGACCCCUAGCCUGGAACUUCCAAAUGCUGUAGGUGUGGCCCUAAAAAGACAAAGGAAAAAAAGAAAGCUAAUGGGGAAAUCAUCAAGUCAUAAAAAUGCUGCUGGGGACCCACGUUUUCACUGGUCCCUGGCAUUUCCACAGUCAUCGCUUCCUUUCUUUACACAUCCAAAGGCUUAGAAAUCUCCAACCAGAUGCAUUGUAGUGUUCUCCUCAUGUCUCAUGAAACCCAGGGGGAAAAGAUGUAAAAAGAGGGGCAGGUGGUUCAGCAUUUUUUUUGGUUAGACCCCGUUUUUUGGUUCUCUCUUUCUCUCAGGCCUGCGCAUGUGGGCCAGUGUGAAUUUGCAUGGUUACCUGCAGACACAGUGCUCUAAACUUGGCCAAGCAUUGAUGUCACUCACCAAACUCAUAAAGUAACCAGGUCAAAUUUCUGCUCCAGAUGGUGGAUUUAGCCUUAGUAAUUUAUAGUCACACCAUGAAUGGCAAGUUGGGAUGUCAAGCCCUGUAGUCAUACUUAUAUUAGUGGUGUUCCCUGCUGAGGAUCUAGUUUAUGCUGUCGCAUUUCAAACUUGUUGAUUUUUUUUUUUUUUUUUAGGGCUGCAACUGCGGCACAUGGAGGUUCCCAGGCCAGGGGUCGAAUCGGAGCUGUAGCCACUGGCCUACCCCACAGCCACAGCAAUGCAGGAUCUGAGCCAUGCCUGCAACCUACACUACAGCUCACAGCAAUGCCAGAUCCCCAACCCACUGAGCCAGGCCAGGAAUCGAACCGGAGUCCCCAUGGAUGCUAGUCAGAUUCGUUAAUUGCUGAGCCAUAACAGGAACUCCAAUAUAGUGAUUCAUAAUAUAGGUUUUUAUAUGCAUGCUUUGAAAUGUGCAGUGGACCAUGAACACAGAAAUUGUGAGCUUUAUAUAUUCAUUCAUUCAUUCAUUCUUCUGAGUGCCUAGCACAGUGCCCAGCAGGCAGAAGUCAAUCAAUAUGUGUGUGUGUGUGCACGUGAGAGAAAGAGAGAGUGACUGAGAGAAAAUAAUACAUAAUAUCCUUUUUGAAAAAUGUGCCAAAGGUGUGUGAAGUUGUUUUAUUUUGUUUUGUUGAAGCAUAGCUGAUUUUACAGUUGUGUUAGUUUCUGGUGUAUAGCAAAGUGAGUCAGUUUAAUAUAUAUAUGCAUAUAUGUAUAUUCUUUUUCAGAUUCAUUUACAUUAUAGUUUAUUACAGGUUAUUGAUUGUUGUUCCCUGUGUUAUUACAGUGGGUCCUUGUUUUUCAUCUGUUUUAUAUGUAAUAGUUUGUAUCUGCUAAUCCCAAACUCCUAGUUUAUGCCUCCCCCCUUCCAUUUUGAUAACCAUAAGUGUAUUUUCUAUGUCUGUGAGUCUGUUUCAGUUUUGUAAAUAAGUUCAUUUGUUCAGAUUCACAUAUAAUAAUGUGAUAUUAUAUGAUAUUCAUCUUUCUCUGACUUCACGUAAUAUGAUAAGUAUUAAGUACGUACAUCCAUGUUGCUGCAAAUGGCAUUAGUUCAUUCUUUUUUAUGGCUGAGUAAUAUUCAUGUAUAUCUCACAUCUUCUUUAUCCAUUCAUCUGUCAAUGGACAUUUAGGCUGCUUUCAUGUCCUGGUUAUCGUAAACAGUGCUGCUGUGAACACCAGGGUGCAUCUUUUUGAAUUAGAAUUUUGUCUAGCUCUAUGCCCAGGAGUGGGAUUGCUAAAUCAGAUGACCACUCUAUUUUUAGUUUUUUAAGGAACCUCCAUACUGCUCUCCAUUGCGGCUGCACUAAUUUACAUUCCUGCCAACAGUAUAGGAGGGAGGGUUCCCUUUUGUGAGAAGUUUUUAAUGCCCCAAAACAUUAAUCCCAAGGCUUAAUGCCAGGCACAAUUUUAAAUGCUUUACCUUAUUGGCACGUUUAAUCCUCAUAAUAGUCCCUAGAGGAGCUUUUCAUUGUCCAUGAACGAACUGGAUGCACGUGAAGGUGGAGGGAAUUGUCCAUGUCAGUGAACGGCAGAGCUAAGGUUUGAACCCAGGCAUCCUGUGGUCAGAGAUUGUGCCUGUCACCAUGAUCCUGCCUUGCCUCUCAAGUUGUGAUGCUGCCAAAGUUCUUAGGUCCCCGGGAGGAACAUGAUAUAAAGUGCAUU
RNAcentral lists this long non-coding RNA (3720 nucleotides) under Sus scrofa (pig). Its description in RNAcentral is "lncRNA (ENSSSCG00040013546.1)". The record is from RNAcentral. Lineage: Eukaryota; Metazoa; Chordata; Mammalia; Artiodactyla; Suidae.